Molecule: ribosomal RNA, 253 nt
Filed under: uncultured bacterium
Lineage: Bacteria
Description: partial 16S ribosomal RNA
Rfam family: Bacterial small subunit ribosomal RNA
Source: RNAcentral
UACGGAGGGUGCAAGCGUUAAUCGGAAUUACUGGGCGUAAAGAGUGCGUAGGUGGUUAAUUAAGUUAUCUGUGAAAUCCCUGGGCUCAACCUGGGCAGGUCAGAUAAAACUGGUUAACUCGAGUAUGGGAGAGGGUAGUGGAAUUUCCGGUGUAGCGGUGAAAUGCGUAGAGAUCGGAAGGAACACCAGUGGCGAAGGCGGCUACCUGGCCUAAUACUGACACUGAGGCACGAAAGCGUGGGGAGCAAACAGG